UUUUUUUCAUCUUAUUUCAUUUUCGUGUGAACAUGGUGGAAUCAAGUUUUUAUACUAAUAACCUUAUAAUGAUAAGAGUUAAUUUCAUCAGUACUGUAGUACCCCGGGAUUUCUGCAGCUGUGGGAUUAUUGCCUCGGAGGCUUGUCGACAGAUCUGGAGAGUGUCGGAACAAGUUUGAGUCGCGUUGGCACGAAAUAGACGCAAAACGGACUCGUUGCGACGCAAGAGCAGGCUUUUAGCAUUCCAAUCUGCCAAUGAUAGAUUUUCAGCAAUGCGUACCAGUACCACAUUGAGGGAGUAUCGGGCAUUUUUUAAAAUAAAUUGAAAAUUUUUAAUGUGUCCAUUAAUAAAUUGAAGAAUUAUUGAAAAAUAUAAAAAUAUUAUAUAUAUAUCUACUUAUCUAUUUAUAAAUAGUAAGUUUAAAUGAUUAAUAAAAUUAUACAAUUAUUUUAUGUAUAGUAAAGAUAAUUUCAUCAUUCUAAAGAGGUGACAAAAUUCACAAAUACAAUUAUCAGCUUUAUAUUACCAAACAGAAAAAAUAUAACUGCAGCAAUUGUAACUGUAUAAAACCAAACAGACUAGGUGUAGUUACAACUACAGUAUUUAUAACUGCAUGUAUUUUUAAAUAUACUAUUUCUGCAAAUACAUUCUACCAAACGGCCCCUUAUUAUCCAUACCAUCAUUUGUAACUUAUUGAUUUUAACUUGUCAGGCCAAACGGUCCCUAAAAUUUUUUAUUUUUAUUAGCUAAAUUAUAGAACAUCUUUCUAUAAAUGCCUGCCUUCUUAUUUUUCCUUGACUUUCAAAAACUAACAUUUUGCCUCUUAAAAUUUUAGAAAUAUUUUCGGAGGGUACAGUAUUAAUGGAGAAGGCAAAAUGACCAAAUUGUUCUUACUUCUUUUAUAAAAAAAAAUAGUUUUUAAUAUAUUUUUAUUAUUUUGAAGGAUAUUUUUGAUAUAAAUUAUAAGAAAUUAAUAGAACUCUAUCGGAGAGUAGUUAAAAUGCAACAACUUAAAAUGUUGAGGGGGCAAAUGUAGAUUUUUAAAAGUUAGGAAAGAAAAGUUAAAAAAAAAAAGGUAUUUAUAAGAAAAUUUUUUGUAAUUUGACUUCUUUAUUUCAUAAAGGUGCAUAGGCCUGUAAGUUGUAAAAUAUAAUAUUGAUUAGUCUUUAUAUAAAAGUCUAUUAUUUGUAAGGAAAAAAAAAAAAAAAAACUUUGGGGAAAAUUUUCAGAAUCUCUAUUAGUCAUAUAAUUAUGAAUCAACCAUAGUUAUUCCAAACAGAGUAUAUGAUAUAAUUGAGUAUAAUAAUUGUGAUAAUUUAAUUUUAAGUUAAGAUUAACCCUCAAUCAUGUCCUAGAAUAAAGUUAUAAUUAAUUAUUAAGUUAAUCACUCCACAUAAUUACGAACAAAUGCAUUCUCCUCUUUUGAUAGAAAAGCUUUUGAAGAAAUCAGAUUCGAUACAUAUUCCAAUUACCCUUUUUUUUUAUUUCUUUUGGGUAAAUAUAAAUAAAGUAGGAUUAGCCCGAUAAUUUUAUCUAUAUCUACAUUAAUCCAUAUUCAAAUUCAAUUCAAUUAGUAGUAAAUGAAUCAUAUAUUAUAUAUUGUAAUAAUAUAGACACUAGACGACACAAUGGUUUAUUAAAAAUAAUCAAUAUAUUUUUUAAAUCAAUUCAUGAGACAAAGGCUUUGAUUUUCGUUUCAACAAUUAAAAUUAAUUGAGAGACUAAUUAAAAUUAAUUGGCCAAUAAGUUGGUCAUCAUUAUUUCAAUAUAAUGGACCCCUCUGAUUUGCUAAAUAUUAUUUAAUUGAGAGUUUAAUUAAUUCCCUCAUCUGGCCGUAUAUCUUAUAUGUAAUGAAUGUGUCAAAGGUAGAGACUAAUUAGAACUCACAGUCCAAUUAGAUUCUUAAUUAAACUCUAUUUAUGUUUUAAUAAAACUAAAUCUCAUCUUAUAUCCUAAUUAAAGUAGAAUUUGACUUUAAUUUUAAAUCAAUUUGACUUUAAUUUAAAUAACUAUAAAUUUAAACCGAAAUCUAACAAUAGAUUUUCUCACUAAUCUGUUAUAAACAACAUUUGUGAAACUACCUCUUCUAUUACUCUAUUUCUUAUUAUAUCAAGUCCUAUUUAUCUAGGAUUAACUCAACCUAGUUAAGAACUGAAAUUUGCUUUUAUCCUUUUAGAAUUAUACCGAAGCUUAAUUUUUCUUCAAAAAUUUUUUUUAAUCUUUCCAAUAAGGGUAAAAUAUAGAAAACUCUAUGUAAAUACUUGUUUUUUUACUUCCUCCGCUGACUUUGAAAAAUAUAUAUAUUUUAUCUUCUCAUAAUUUCAAGUUAAUGGAUUUAAACGCCUUUCGAUCGUCAGAAUUCCGUCACUAGCUACUAUUCCGUCCAUUUCUUAUAAUUUAUACUGAAGAUACCCUAAAAUUGUUAGAAAUGCAUAAAAAAAUUUAUUUUUUUCUUAACAAGUAAAGAAAAUUUAGUCAUCUUAGAAAAUAAAAAAAUAUGGGUAUUCAUAAGGGAAGGAUUUUUUUUUUUUUUUUUGUCAAUAAAUAAAGUUUUACGGGUACAAAGCAUUCUCCAAAUACAUAAUACUGUGGAGUAGCUGAAGGCACCAACUAAUCUGAUGCGUUCACUUUUACAUACGUAUACAUUGAAAAUAAAAUAAAAUAAAAUAUACAUACAAGAGAAUAUCUGCAUAUAUCGAUCAUCAUUUUCAAUUUUUCUCAAGCACGGAUUAUUUAGAAGAUCUGAGGCGGAAAAUAUGAAAGCAUCAAGCUCGGUCGGUGCUCUGCAAAAAGCGCACAAACUCACCUACAUGAUAUGGAAUCAUUGAAUCCUUUCUUUGACUAACUUGCCGUUUCCGUCUCGAUCGAACCAAAUAAUAAAAUUCGGGAUGUGGCAAACCCUCGUGCGCCAAUCGUUGUUGUGGUCGCCUUCUCCUCCUCCUAGAAGCAGCUCAACAAGUUCCUCUGCUGGAUAGAUAAUGUAUAAAUACUGAAGGGUGGUAAGGUACUCGAUACCGUGGGGCAGCUCCUUUAGCUCGGGGCAACGUACUAGCCGAAGCGUAUUCAGGCUUGCCAUUGCUCCUCUUUCUAUUUCCACCUGGCUGGGCUUCGGGGCAUCAUAUAUUAAAAAUUCCUUUAGCUUCGGGAAUGAUGUUGCUUGGAAGUGCAACUUGAUUCCGUUAUAUGCCCCCCAAAGUUCAAGAAACAUCAAUGCGGGCAGCGCUUGCAGGUAAGGAAAUGUAUCUUCAUCCAAUUUUGCAUAUGUAAGUGUUAAUCUGGUUAGGUUUAUAAGAGACCCAAAGGACGUGGCAAGCUCAAGGAGUGAGGUUUUGUCUAAUUCACCACGCAGAUAUAAUCUUUGAAUUCGUAGAGGUAGGCGCAGGAUGCCCAACUGCUGUAAUUCUUGCCCACGUACACUGCUGACAUCUAAAUAGUUAAGAUGGUUCAUCUUUGUGAUACUAUUCCACAAGUCUGCACAGUGAUUGGUUCUAACGCCCUUUAUUGAAAAUGUCCGCAACUCUGUCAAAGCUUCUACAUUCCGCACAAUCUCCGUAGUUGCUUCAAUAUAUUCUAAAGUCUGCAAGCCCUUCAAGCGCCAUAUUCCUGCGAUUGCGUUGAUGUUCUUACCCAAAUUGCCGGGCAAAAUUAGAUGUCUCAACUUUUGAAGCUCUGUUAUUUCCUUUGGCAGCUUUUCUAUUGCACUUACACCUGUAUCUAAUAUUUGCAGAUUUCGUAGCUUCCCAAUUGAUCUUGGAAGCUCCUUAAUUUUUGUUUCUCGCAAGCCUAGAUAAUGCAAGUUGAAUAGGUUACAUAUCUCACUCGGUAGUUUCUCGAUUAGUGCUCCUUGUAGUUCCAAGACACGUAAAAAUGUUGAUGAUCUUAAGACCGACUUCAGUAAAUCAUAGCUCAUGGAAUUGUUGAAAACAAGUACUGAACGCAAAUGAGAUUUGUCUUCAGUACUAUAAUUAGAUAUAUUGCUUAGGAUUGACAAGCGGCGUGCUUUGGAUCCCCGCAAUAUUGUCCGUGAAUGCUCGUAAACUAUGCAGAAACUUAACUCCUUUGACUCCGAAAGAGCGAGGACUCGAAUGAUGUCAUGCAUUCGACAUUUUUGAACUCUACCAACUUCAUCCCUACGUACCACUUGUAGUAGACAGCGAUGAACAAGUUCGUUAAGGUAGUCCUCGGCCACUUCCUCCAUCGUUAUUCCUCUAUUUUCUUCAAUGAACCCUUCGGCCACCCAAAGCCUUAUGAGCCUGCCACUUUCAAUUUGAUAAUCUUCCGGAAAACUAGAACAAUAUAAGAAGCAAUUUCGAAGGUAAUGGGGAAGAUUGUCCAAACUAAGUUUCAAAAUGUUAUGUACUUUUUUAUGGUGUUCCAAUACAUUAUUGGUUAGAUACCACUCAAGAUCUUUGUAAACCUUCUCCCAUUCAGAACCGGUUUGUACUCGAAAUGAUAAGAGACGGGCUAUAGAUACGAUAGCAAGGGGCAAGCCACCGCACCUCUCGACAAUUUUUUUAGCACAUUGUUCUAAAGGCGGUGAGCAAAUCUUGUUUGCACUUUUCCAAAAUGCGUUUUUACAAAAGAGAUCCCACGAAUGAUCUGCCUCUAGUGGCUUUAGCUCAAACAUGCGGUUUUCGUUUGCUAAUAGAGCUACAUUGCGAAUCCUUGUUGUGAGAACUAUUCUACUUUUGCAAUUACUAUUCAAAAGUGCAUACUUUAUCUUGCCCAGUACAUCAGUACUCCAAACAUCAUCCAGAAUGAGUACAUACUUUUUACACUGCAAGUAAGUGCGGAUAGUCUCAACCAAGCUUCUAUAAUCCAUGGUAUCAAUGUUGUUAGGUGCUUCUCUUUUCUCACGAUCUUCCCUACAGAACUCUUUUAAGAUUUUUCUAAGCAAAUCAUCAGUCUCAUAACUUUGAGAUACAGCAACCCAGGCACAAGCAUCAAAGGAAGCUUUGAUGAUAUUGUACACAUGAGUCACGAGAGUUGUCUUCCCUAGACCACCCAUCCCCAACACUGAGAUUAUCAUGGGCUGUCGUUGUUGCUCAUCCUCAUCUUUUAACCAUCUGAGCAACAAGUCCCUGUACUCGUCAAUACCCACGAUAUCAUCCUCCUCGACAAAAUGGGGUAAUUCUGCGGGGCUCUUGCUACCGCUGGCAACUAUUAGAGGUCUUGCUUCAUUUUCCAUCCUACUCAUAUCAUAUCGCUCUCUUCUUUCCUUUUUAUUGUUUUGGAGCUUAAUUUUGAUUUUGUUAAGCCUCUUGCUAAGGCGACACCAAGUUGUUAUAUUUCUGCACCUCUUGACUAUUUUAGGCAAGACCCCUCCUUGCUCUUCACCGAGCUUGCAUGUGAACUCAUCUAUAAUAUCCUCAAUGUUGAAAGCCAAGUCUCUUGUUUGUUUUAUGAAGGUUUUUGUGAUCUCAUCCUUCUCUUUUAAUCUUUCUGCGAUCUGUAGGAAGGAUAGCAUGCUCUCAUGCUCAUGCUUAAUGUCGCUUAUAUCCUCCGGUAGUUCUUUCAUUGCUGAUAUCCGUGUUCGUAAUAGUGAUGUUGCUGAUUUAGUUGCUUCACUAGCUAAGCUUACCACAGCCUCCGCCAUAGGCACUUCCUCUGAAUUGAGCCUAAUAUAAACAAUCUUUUCAAAUUACCAUGUCUCUUCAAAUGCACCACUAGCAAAAAUGAUUAUUUUUUAACGCUCUUAUGAUUCAAGGCAAUUUUCAUAAAAAAUAUGUACUUUUCUCAACCGGAAUAACUCUAUAGUGCACUAAACAAACAUUUGUUAGAAUCCUCAGUUAAAAAAAAAGAAACACCAUUAACAGUAUUGUAGUACUUCUGGAAGAACAAAAAGCAAUAACUUGUUUGAGAUUCAAUUUAACAAAAUUUUGAGACGAAAGAUUCAUCAUAACUAGUCAUACUGAAUUUGACCUCAAUGUAUAUUUGUAGAGCAAGUUGUGAAAAAGUCCUUUAGAGGAGUAUGAAAUCAAUAAAGAGUUGCAAAGUAAAUCAAUCUGCUGCUAACCAAUGAGUAGAUGGUAUCGUAUUAAGCAUGAUUGUAAAUUAUUUUACAAUUAAUAAUUAUAAAUCGAGUUUCUUUUGAAGCCCUCUUGUUGUUCAUAAUUAAGUUAAUAUAUAUCAGGACGAUAAGUCAUUUGAGCAAGAAACUAUUAGUGCUUUUUCAAAUAGUUUUGUUUUGAUAGAAAUAUAAGAACUUAAAUUUUAGACUCCUGAAACUCCCGUAUUUUAAUAUGUUAAAUUUUAUUGCCUCAAAAUUCAUACUGCCUAUUAUCAAACCUGAAUCUAAAAGUUCUAUUUCAACUUCUGUGAUUUGUUUUGCAAUUUGUAGAAGUUCUACAUUACAAGUUUUGACGUAUAACUAUUUUUUUUUUUUUCUGAAAUAAUUGUUAUCUUUGUUAGUUCAGCAGGAGUAUUUCUUAAGUGAAAUGACUUUGAUACUUUUUUCUUUUUUUUUUUUUUUUUUUUUUUUUUUCUGAUGAUGAGGCAUUAAACUAAAUGUUGCAUAUCAUUAAAUAUGAUCUAGAUUAUUUGAAUGGUUUACGACCUGAAAUUUAUUUUUUGUCGUUAUCAUUUACCUAGUGAUCAAAUGGUUUCAAAAUUGAUAAUUUAACAAGUAAAACAAGACACUUUCUUCUUGUUUAACUGCAAAGAAAUAAAACCCUCUCAACUAUUCAGAUCAAGCUCUAUAACCAAGAUUGUGAAUUUAAGAUUUUUUUUUAAUUAUAUUUUUAGAAGGUUGCUAGAUUUGACCUUUCAUAUUAUAUAUAUAUAUGCCAACUUGGCUGACCUGAAAAUAAAUUUUAAAACUCAUAAAACUCUUUUUCUAGAAAGUUUAUCUACAUAUGUAUCUUUUAAUUUAGCAUCUUGCAUGGUAUUGAUCAUCGAUUUAGAUGCUCAAUCAUUAAAAAUGAAGUGAAAGUAUAUAUAAUUAAGGCCAAAUUAUUCUAUCUUAAUUAUUAUCUUUCGUUAUUUUGUUACCAAAGAUCAAGUAAAUCCAAACAAUAUAUAUGUUAACCAACAAAGACGCUUUGUGCUUUAAAGAACUAAGCCAGCUGAUAGCAAAGAGAAUAAACAUUAAUUAAAAAGAACAAGUAGAAGAAGAUGCACAACUAACCACAGAUCCAAAAGGGAGAUAUAUAUUGAAGAGGGAGCUGCUCCAAAAUAAUUAAUCUGAAAUUUAACUAGGAAAAAUACUGCAACCAAAGAAGCUCUUGAAGCAGAAGAUUUAGGGCUUGAGGAGUGAGGGAUGAUAUGGACGUACAGUGCAGCAACCAAGAAGCAUCUUUCCUCUUAACAUCUCCCAUCAGCACUUGAGUGCAGUGCAGUGGGCCAUGAUGAAUUAAUUGUAGGGAAUCUUUUGAUUAUUUACCUUUUUCUACUUAUCAAAGUUUUUAAAUUUAUUUUGAAAUUGUCAAAAUACUUUUUCGAAAUUAAAUCUUAUUAGUAAACCGGAGCAAAAAUGAAGAUAUUUGAAAAAAUUAUUUAAAUCAGUAAGUAUAUUUUGAUCCUCCAGAAAAAAAUAUAUAAGAUAUUUUGAAGUUUUGAAUAACAUAAUGGAUAUUAUUUUGAAAUUUUAUACAUAGGAUGAAAACUUCAACUAGCCGUCUUGUGGCCCAACGUGUUACAUGCUUCGUCGUACUGUAUUCGAAAAAUCUAAAGUAUUUAUGCUUCGGCAUUCUGUGUUCAAAAGGUCUGAGAAAUUUUUUUAUUUUGUCAUUUUGCAUUGGAAAAGUUUUAUUAUGUUGUUAAUUGUUAUAUAAUUUUACCUUUUGUUCGAGGGUAAAUUACACUUUCAGUCCUCAAAUUUUAAUUUAUUAUAAUUUUUGGCUUAAAUUAUAGAAUUAUUUGCAUACACGUCCCUGUAAAUAUAGUGAAUUACGAAAAUAUCCCUGCAAAACGAAAACUCCAUAAGUUGUCCCUGCAAAAGUCCUAAGUUAUGCAGAUAUGUCCCUCCGGUUAACAUCCGUUAGUGAUCUGUUUAUUUUUUAACAGUGGAUUCGUAAAAUGACCAUUUUACCCUCACAAAUAUAUCCCUCCAAAAGUUUUCCUCUUCCCUUUCUCUUUCUCUUCCUCUUCGAACCGCUGAAGAGGACGACUGCGGCAGCGGCGCGGGGUCGGGUUAGCCUGCGACGAAGAAGAGGGAAGAACGCCGGGGCACCGGGGCUCUACCCGGAGCUCGUCGCCCUCAAUGCCGUCCCCUCCCUCGUCGGCCUCCUCGGCCACGACAUCGCCGACAUUGCCGUCGACGUAGUCUCCCUCCACACCGACGCCGACAUCCUCGGCGACCACGACGACUCCGCGCACACCCUCGUCGCCGCCCUCGUCGACAACAACGCCCUCGAGCUUCUCAUCCAGAACCUCGCCCGCCUUUCCGAGGCCGAUCCCGACGAGGUUCUUCGCCCUCGCCGGUGACGAAGAAGAGGGAAGAGAAAGAGGAAGAAGGAAAAAGGAAGAAGAAGGGAGAAGAGGAAGAGGGAAGAAGAAAAGAAAGAGGGUUCGCCAAGAAAGAGGAAGAGGAGGAAGAGGAAGAAGGGUAAAUACGUCAAUUCAUAUUAUAAUUAAUCAUAGUUAAAUAUUUUAACCGUGGUUAACAAAAAUUUUCUAACAGAUCUAGACGGCAGGGACAUAUUUGCAUAACUUAAGACUUUUGGAGGGACAACUUAUGGAGUUUUUGUUUUGAAGGGAUAUUUCUGUAAUUCAUUAUGUUUACAGGGACAUGUAUGCAAAUAAUCCUAAACUAUACUACACAUUACAUUUUAGUCCUCGAACUUUAAUUAGGUGUAAUCCUUGGCGCGGUCGAUAAGGCGUGUGUAUAUUUUGGUACUUGACUCGCUAAAUUAUUGGAAUUAAGUUUCACGGCCUAUUUUUUUUAAUAAUAUGGAUAGAUUAUUAAUAUCAAAUUAAUGCAGCAUUUUAAAUAUUGUUGGAUCAUCAAAUAUGAUAUUGUUACAAUUCAAAAAGUUCGAAGAUUAAAAUGUGACAUGCUUUAUAGCCCGAACCAAAAUUAUAGGUAAUUAAAAUAUGAGGACAAAAGUGUCAGUGGCCUCUAGUUCGAGUGAAAAAUUAUAGUAAACAAAAUUUUGAGGACGAAAGUAUCAGACGCAUCAUAGUUUGAGGAUGGAAAGUGUAAUUUACCAAAUUUGUUUUUUUAUAAAAUUUUUUUAUUAAAUAGAAUUGUAAAAUAUUUUAAUUUGCAAAUUAUACUGAAAUGCUAAAUUUUGUAGAUUUGAUGGUGGUAAAAUAUAGUAUUUUACAUAUAUAUCUAUACUAUAUAUAAAAGCACGUAUAUUCAAAUUUGGGUCUGUCGACAGACCCAUUUUUCGGCGGAAAAAUUAGCGCUCAUUUUUCUCUUUCCGUACGAAAAAUUUUAAAUAUAAGAAUAAAAAUAGAAAUAGAAACAGUUAAGUUCUCUAUAACAGAUUACUGAUGUUGCAAAAUCCCUAAAAUAUAAAUUUUCUAUUAAUUUCAAAAGUAAAUUUUCUAUAAACAGAUUACGGGUGUGAAAAUCCUAUAAAAGAAUUUCCUAUUUUAUUUUAAAUAUCUUUUUAGAUAUUAUCUAUUUAAUUUCAAAAUAUAUUUUCUUUUAAGAACGGAUUUUAUUUUCUAUUUAAUUUCAAAAUUUAUUUCCUAACAGAUUUUAUUUUCUAUUUAAUUUCAAAAGUAAUUUGCAUUAGAGAUUAUUAUUAAUUAUUUAUCAUUUAAAGCAUAUCUUUCUUAUAAGCGGUUUAUUAUUUUAAAUUUUUUAGAUACAUAUUUAGCAAUCAUAUAAAAUAUGGCCUAAAAUUAAAAAUAAUUUAAAAUUAUAACUUUUCUAAUAAUUAUUACGUGUAUUUGCACGUACAUUUACUAGUAUAUAUAUAUAUAUUAUAAUAUAUAUAAUAUAUAUAUAUAUAGGGUCAGGCUACUAUACUAUUAUAAAGUACGAUCGCCCUCGUACUCAUAAGUUGUUUUCGAUGAUAGAGCUUCCGAAUCGACGAUCCAUACCGUUAAACGUUAUUUAUAGCAUUUUAGACUUCUAGAAAUCAAAUUUCAUAAUUUUUCGAUAUCAUUUACCUUACAAUCAAGAGGUCACGAAUUUGACAAUUUUUAACGGCCGUUAUGGAAUACUUGCUAGUUUAACGGUAUAAAAAAAUCGGAAUUUGUUGAAUUUUUGAUAGAAAAUUCUAGUCACUACAAAGAUAAAGAUCACUAACUCCGAUCUUGAAUUGAAGAAUCCGAUCAUCCAUUUUUAAGACGUCGUUCGAUUUUGACCGUUCAUUUUAUGCCCGUUUGAUGGAUUUUAUUAUGAUUUCGAAAAUUUACGAAAUUUAUUUUCUAGAAGUUUCAAAUACUCUAGAUCAUAUUUAACUGAGUGGAUCGUCGAUUCGGAAGCUCUAUCAUUGAAAACAAUUUAUGAGUAGUAAGGUUCCAAUACUCAUAAUAGUAUAGUAGCCAUGGCCUAUAUAUAUAUAUAUAUAUAGAGUCCGGCUACUAUACUAUUGAUAGUACCAAGCCUUUGGUACUAUAGAGUUUUCUACCGUUAGAUCUACCCUAUGAUCAUUUCCACCCGUUAGAUUAUACUAUUAAACCAACCACCCACUCAACCCUAGGGGACCACUAUCAUCCUAACCGCACAUCCUUUCAUCCAAUGGCCAAAAACUCAAUAGUACCAAGGGCUUGGUACUAUUGAUAGUAUAGGAGCAUAAUUCUAUAUAUAUAUAUAUAUAUAUAUAAAAUACAUAAUUACUCAACCCGACUUACAGGCAAAAAUUAGGGGAUAACUAAAACCACCCCUGUGUGACCCGAGCAUCUUCAAUUAUUAAAGGCAAAGGCGACACAAGUCAUCAAUAAGUAGGGCUGGCAAAUGAGCGAGCCGGCUCGUGUUCGACUCGCGUUCGACUCGAUAUUUGGUUCGCUCGAGCUCGACUCGAAAUUAAAUGAGCCGAGCUUAAACAAGAAAAAAGGCUCGAAAUUCAUUUCAAGCCGAGCUUGAGUAUUACUUGGCUCGUUUGAAUUAGGCUUGAAUUUUGAGUAUAGAGGAUCUGGUGCUUUAGAUUUUUGUCACGCCCCGGGGUCUCUUUGUAGUUAAAAAUACAGCGGAAUUUUUUUUUUUGAAAACCUGACCUCCAGGGUAUGCCAGAUCCGCCACAAAUACAGAGAGUCCACUGUUCACAAGGACAGAUCUUCCCUGUAUUUGCACGGCGUCGCGCAAGUACAAGAUGUCCAAACAGAGUACAACCAGGAUACAACCACAAUACUUGAAUAGACAAAACUCAACAUUCAUUCACCAUUCACCAGAUAUUUACUAUUCAGUGUUUAAACAUAAAAACUACGAGAAAACUCUUUUGAAAGCUGUUUAUCUUUAAAACAUGCUACCACGAGAGGUCGAAAAUUAUUUUUCAUUUCGUAAAAUUCACAAUUCCUUUUAUUACAUUCAUGAAAAUUCACAUUUUCAAAUGUAAUAAAAAUACUGAACCAUAUAAACUAUCUAAGUUAUAUCAACAGAAUAAUAAGGGUAGAAACUAAACCGAAUAACCUGGGUCGUAAGUUCUAUCGACCGCUACAAACGUAUCUCACGUCACGUCUCAACUUUCACCGCCCGCGAUACUUGAAAAAUGGUGGGGGAGGUGAGAACAUAUAAACAUGUCUCCCCUCCCAGUGGGUACCGCAAGCCGAAGAAGGCGAGGAGUACUCACCAGAUCAGGAAGAGCUAAACAACAGUACAGAUUAGUGGAAAUACAGUAGCAAUAAUAAUGAACGAAAGAGAUAUAUAUAUACAAAUGAAAGUACAACUACCGCUACUGUAAUGAACAACUGAAUAUAUACAUGCAACAAAACUAUAGUAGCAAGACAAUGUAAAGAAAGAAGUGAAGGUAUACAAGCAACAACCGCUACUAUAGCUAUAUGCGUCAACCAGACGAUAAGUCCAAAUAUACCCAAUCUAGAAACUGCCCUAUUGGUCCGUAGACCUCAGGCCUGUGCCACAACUGCUCAACCUAUACGUGAUCCUCGCAUAGAACACCCGGAUGCGAAAGGUAUCUGACCCUCGCAUAAAGCACCCGGGUCCGAAAGCAUAUAACCCUCGCAUAAAGCACCCGGGUUCACGGGUUGGCACUCCCAACCUCUUUUCCGGAAAAGAACACUCUCUUGCGGUGGCCAAACCGCUGGUGUUCGUGAAAUGCGUACAAGCAGUGGCGAUCAAUGCUGAAUGCUCAAUAGUAAGCCGUCGGCAACCAGCCGACAAUCCUGCCCCUCAGGGCACACCGACCAAUAGGUCAUCGAACUGUAAGAAACACAAGUACCGACCGCUCAGGUCAACUAGGAUGGAACCACUCAACAUCCUCUCAAACAUAUGCAAGUACUGGCUACUCAAGGUCAACUAACUAUAUACUUAAUCCGACCAAUAGGUCAUACAAUGUCACAUCAUGUAUCACUAAAAUUCAGAACUACCGUCAGCCACUGGCCGACAAUCCAACCCCUCAAGGUACACCGACCUCAACGGUCAUCGAUAACAGAAGUCAAGGAACCGACACGAGAUACAAUGACCGACCAAUCAGGUCACAAAAACAGAUACAAUGCACUAAGCGACUAGGUCACCAUCUCACAGAUAGUCACGAAACCGCUCUACUCUAGACAUGAUACAGGAUAUGUAGAACAGACAAGUAGAGCAACAAGAAAACAGGGUAUCACAUACAGAUAAACUACUCUACUCCUACACAUGAUACUAAGCAUGGAAACAUCUGAGUAGAGUAUAACCAAACAACGUAGGUGCUAGGCUCAAUAUAUAGUAUAAGCAUGGAUAAUAAUAAAGGAGCAAGGGUAAGAAACCAUCACCGAGCGUCCACCACUGUAUUGACGUCGGAUCGAAGUACCCACCUGUAAGGAUGUCGCGUCUGUCUCCUGACUGUGAAAGAACAUCAACCGGACCUAAGGAAGGUCCACUGGGUUAGUGUCUAACCCACAAAUAAUCAACACUGAAAUCACAACCCCACAACCAAACCCACGGAGAUCGGUUUCCCAAAAUAGACUACCGUAACUCGCCGGAAGUCCCGAAACCGCACCGGGACUCCGUCGGGACCCACGAACUAUCCCGGAACUCACCAACUCAUAAUAUGAGUCGCCCACUGCCACUAAACACUAAUAUCCAAUGGAACUUGGCAGCAAACACAAGGCAUCGCAUCGAAAUGAUUAUCGUCGGCUAAUCGUUCCGAUCCGGGUUCCCGAGAGUGUCAAUUUCGACACUGGAACCCACCGUCGCUCACCCGUCAUUUCUGAACUCUCGAAGUGACGCGAGUGACCAGCCAACAAGGCUCAGCGACUACACAAUAGCUCAUGAAGCACCGUCGAAAUAAUUCCGAACCGAACCCGCGUUCCAGCGGAUUUCGCCGAGAAACGCCUCGGAAAUUAAUAUUUGAUUUACGAAAUGGCCAAGGCCUUGGAAAAUCAGUCCAGAGGUUACCCACUAUCCACAAAUGCUGUCAACAGCAGCCACGAUGAGCCAAAAUGCAUAAAAGCCCUUCUAUUUUCCUAGAAUCGCAUUAUUUCAUGCGAUUUCGGCGUUUUAUGGUCCGUCAACCCAAGCCAGAAGUCAAUCAGCCAAGAUGAGACUCCCGCUGACAGGUCUCGGCGUGCCGAAGGCCGUGCUCACCUUUCGGAGCACUUUCGGCCACUGUAGCACGCGCACGAGCGACAUGAAAUUCAGCAAAAUAGUGCGCACAUCGCUUAAAUCACGUCGAAUACACAAACCAGGGCAUAUAUGACCCUAACGGAGGUGAGCACGAUGUUCAGCACGAACCCAGGAUCAUCGUGCUCACUUUCCCAUUUAUCGGAGUGCCCUCGGAUUGCCGAAAAGGCGAUCGGAACCCCAGAACAGUGCACAGGAAUUUAAAUGCAGCCUAACCUGAGCAGUAGAGCUAGGAUUGGUCGCCGGCGGCUGGACGGCGGGCGCUCCGGCCGGGGAAGGGUGCGGCCAGUCGGUGGGGUCGAAGGCAACUGCUAGUCGGUGACGGGAGGCGGCCGGUGGUGCGACGGCGUAGAUCAAGCCCGCGCUUGCUCUCGGGUUGUACAAGUCCCCGACGGCAGUGCGGCGGCCGGAGGAGCACGGGACGUCGACGAUCCGUCGCCGGAGGUCGAGGGGAAGCUGGUGCACCCGUCGUUGGGCAGCGCCGGUGCUUGGAAGCCGAGGGGACUCGACCACGGCCCGCACGGGUCUAGGCGGCCGCAGGAUGGAGGAGCGGCGGCCGGCGGUCCACGGAGAUGGCCGGGAUGGCGAGCGUCGGUGAGCGGGAGGUCCCCGGAGUCUGGGGGAAGGCAGGGAGGCUGAUCCAUGGCGGCGGCGGCACGAGAGGACAAAGAGGACCCAGCCUCGGCCGCAUAGGUUCUGGACGGCCGCAGGGGCUCGAGCGGCGGCCGGCGACGCUCCAGGACGACGGGAUGGCCAGCAGAGGGGUGCCGGAGGUCAUCGGAUGGCAGCGCGACCGAUCAAAGGCAGGAGCAGCGCGCGGGGACCAGGGUGAUCCCAGCUCGGCCUACUAUAGAUCCUGCCGGCAGCAGCUCAACCUAUCAGCGCCGGCGGCGGCCGGGGAUGGCGGCGGCCGGCGGGAACGACGCUGGAGAUGGAUCUCGGCAAAGGGAAGAUGGUUGCAUAGGUUUAGGUGCCUUCCCGAGCUUGGUGGCUAAGGAGGGUGGAAGGAAAAGUGGGGGGGAGGGGGGGGAACAAAGUAGGCCUUUCUCCGGCGGCCGGAAGAGCUCACUGGCGGCCGGGGUGCACGCAGGGAGGAACAAGGAGGUGGAGGAAGCUGCUCGGGGCGCAGCUAAGGCAUUGGAUCGGCUAGGGUUAGGGUUUCCUGUUUGGAACCCUAAUACCUAAACUUAUAUAGAGUGAAUAAGUAUAGAAAGGUCCCCCAAGUCUUUCUAUUUUCAGUCCAGUCCUUUACCACGGGUGUAAUAUGCGCGUAAGCACCUCGACGUUCAAAAUUACGUGAAACGGUACAUAAAAUAUAAGCACUUUCGUGAUUUUCACCGUUUUGCCGAUUUCGAUCCCUCUGCGAACAAUUUGCGUUUCCCGAAGAUCCGUGCGUCGAAUUUCUGAACGGAUCACGCCAGCGCAUUCAGCAUGACUGGGGCAUUGAAUCUACAAUUUUGUUUCGUUCUAUUUGUUCUCCGAUUCACGACGAAAUCAUCCCUCUUUGUUUCCACCACAUAACCGCCUAUAUUAAUAUAUGUGAAAUCAAUCAAACCCCUUUUUCUCGACAACCGAGCAUCAGAACCCAAUUCCGUCAGUGCCAUUGGGUUCAGAAUAGUCGAGCCGUUCGAAACGAGCUAUUGGAGUCCUAUGUUCGGAGUCCAAUACACACCAGAACCCUUCUCUACUCACUAGCUCAUUCGAAAAGCCAGAGUUACUAUUCACUUUAAGUCAUCGGUCCUGGUCGCGUAACUUCUCCAUUCUGGCUCAUUUUCUCCUGAAACUUGACGAGUACUUAUGUAAUUAAAUUACACACAGAAACAUCGUCAACAGAGAGUUUAGCUGCACUGUCAAAAUUUCAGUCCUUAUAAUUUUUUGAUUCUUAGAUCAACCCCUUUAAUCAUUUCUUAUCUUCGGAUUAAUACUAUUAUUACCUUGUAGGGACUACCUUGUAGGGACUACUCAAUCUCUAUAUUUUCGAUAGCAUAGUAAUUCUACACUAUAUAUAUAUAUAUAUGUAAGGACUGAGAUUUUUACAGUGCUACUAAACUCUCUGUUGAUGCUGUUUAUGUGUGUAAUUUAACUAUAUAAGCACUCGUCAAGUUUCAGGAGAAAAUGAGCUAAAACGGAGAAGUUACGCGAUUAUUAGUUUUCACUUAAGUGAAUAGUAACUCCGGUUUUUCGGUGAAGCCACGGAGUAGAGUUGGCUUUCUACGCGUAUCGGACUCCGUUCAUAGCGAUCCAAUAGCUCGUUUCGACCGGUUUUUGAGUUUGACGCACGAAUUUCGAGAAAAUCCAAAAAUACAUAUUUUAUAUGUAUUUAUGCGUUAUUUUCUUCUGUUGGAAAGAAAGAUUGGAUUGUGUCGUGAAUCCGUGGUCGAUCGAGGUGAAACGAAAUCGCAGCUUUGUUGUCUCCGUCGUGCUGAACGCGAUGGCGCUGUCGGAUCGAAAAUCCGACGGACGGAUCUCCGGGAAUUACGAGAUGUUCGCUGAGGGGGUCAAAGUGGCAAAACGGAUAAAUCGCGAAGAGACCCUAUAUUUUAUGUGCCGAAUUGCGUGAGAUCGGACAUGGAGGUGCGUAUGUGUAAAAUACGCGCGCUGUGAGGGACUUGGCUGAGAAUAUUAUCCCUGGGAGGACUAUCUUGCAAAUGUACAUAUGUAAAUAGUAGUUGCACUAGGGUUUCAUGAGGAAACCCUAGCUUUUGGCCUUCUCCUUAGCCGAACCGAACCCUAGCCGCCACACCUGCAUUCCUGCCCAACCGUGCGCGCGCCCUGACCGCCGGCAUGCCCCUCCGGCCACCGGAAAACCCUUCCGCACUACCCUCUCCCUCCCUCUCGGCCAACCACUCCACCACAUUGUGGUUGGGGUCUUUAGGAGUCAUAUAAGUUUGAGCGCCACCUUCCUCUGGCCGAGGUCGACCACCGGCGUUUCCCUCCGCCGACCCCGACCAUGCCCGUGGGCCGCCGGUGCCGCCCCUGCUCUCUGCGGCCACCCUCGGUCAGCCCAGACCGAGCACGGGUGGGCUCGAGGCUAGUGCGCCGCCGCCACUCCAGAUCGGCCGCGCCGUCAUCCCUCAGCCUCCGGCGACCUCCCGCUCGCCGCCCCGUCACUCCAGCCACCGCUGGCCGCCGCGUGGGCUCUCUGCGGCCGCCCAGACCGAGUGCGGGUCGAGCCGGGGCUAGCUCUGCCUCCGCGCGCCACCGCCAUUCCCCGCCGGCCGAGUCGCCCUUCCUCCACCUCCGGCGACGUGCCGCCGUCGCCCCGACCCUCCUCCAGUCGCCGCCGUGGCCGCUGCUGCCCUAGGAGCCGAGGUGAACCCGCACGGGCUCGGGUUGUUCCAGCGUUGCCAUCGCCGCCUUCCGCCGCCGGCCAGCGUGAGCGCCGGCUCCGCCUGGCCGGCCGCACCCAUCCACCGCCGGCUAACCCGCCGCCGGAGCUCCCUGUCAACCGUGGUGAGCCCAUGCUCUCCUCGGGUUGUACAACUAGGGCAUCGAUGCCCGCCGUCGUCGCCGCCUCCCGUCGCCGCCUCCCGUCGCCUGUUGACGCGAGCCCCGGCCUCCUCUGACCUGGAGCACCUUCCCCUCGCCGGCCUGUCCGCCGUCCGGCCGCCGCCGGCCACCUCGAGCCCUGCCUAGCUCCGGUAAGCUUGUAUUGCAAUUAUUGUGCACUGUUUGGGGUUGUGUAUACUGUUCCGGCGACCCGAGGCUGUUCCGAUGCCUCUGGAUGUGAGCACGGUGAUCCUCAGUCAGUGCUGAUCACAGUGCUCACCUCUAUUAGGGUCAGCGAGCCCCUGGUUAGCGAGAUAAGCAUGUUUUUCAUGCUGUGCGCGCUGUUCGCAGACUUUCGCGUCACUCCCGCGCUCUCUACAUUGGCCAGUGGUGCUCGGAAAGGUGAGCACGACCUCCGACACGCCGAGACCUGUUAGCGGGAGUCACGUCUUGGCUGUUUGACUUCUGGUUUGUGUUAACGAACUAUAAAAGCGCCGAAAUCGCAUGAAAUAAUGCGAUUUUGGGUAGUUGGGAGGGCUUUUAUGCAUCUUGGUUCGUCGUGGCUACUGUUGGCAGCAUGGAUGAGCUGUGGGUGACCUCUGGACUGAUUGUCCAAGGCCCCGGACCUUUGCGAAGAUCGAAAAUAUAUUUCCGGUGCGUUUGUCGGCAAAAUCCGCCGACGGAACGCGGUUUUGGUUCGGAAUUAUUCCGACGAUGUUUCGUGAGCUAUUGUGUAGUCGCUGAGCCUUGUUGGUUGGUCACUCACAUCAUUUCGAGAGUUCAGAAAUGACGGGUGAGCGACGGUGGGUUCUGGUGUCGAAAUAGACACUUCCGGAAACCCGGAUCGGAACGAUUAUCCGACGAUAAUCGUUUUGGAGUGAGUUAAGGUCUCUGCUGCCAAGUCACACGUAAAUUUGUAUUUAGGGGCAGCGGGUGACUCGUGGUACGAGUCGGUGCCUUCCGGGAUAGUCCGUGGGUCCCGGCAGAGUCUCGGUGCGAUUACGGGAUUUUCGACGUAUUACGACGAUCGGUUUGGGAAACCGAUUCUUGUGGGUUUAUUUAUGGGGUUAUAUUUUUAGGGUUUCUUAGUUGUGGGUUAGACACUAACCCAGUGGACCCUCCUUAGGUCCGGUUGACGUUCUUUUGCAGUCAGGAAACAGGCGUGACAGUUGUACAGGUGGGUACUUCGAUCCGACGUGGUACAGUGGUGCACGCUUGGUGAUGGUUUCUUACCCUUGCUCUUUUGUUAUUAUCCAUGCUUAUAUUAUAUGUUGAGCUUUGCACCUCUAUUGUUUACAUUACACCCACGUUGUUUGAUUAUACUCUACUCAGAUGUUUCCAUACUUAGUAUCAUGUGUAGGAGUAUAGUCUAUCUGUAUGUGAUACCAUGUUUCCUUGUUGCUCUACUUAGCUAUUCUGCAUAACCUGUUUCAUAUUUAUAGUAGAGCGAUUCCGUAAUUAUCUGUGAGAUUAGCGAUCUAGUCGGUCGAUUCUAGUAUUCAGUAUUUGUGACUUAUUCGGUGAGUUCCUCGACCUUUGUUGUCUGAUGACCGUUGAGGUCGGUAUACCCUGAGGGGUGGGAUUGUCGGUUAGUUGCCGACGGAUGAUUAUACUUUACUCAUAUCCUAUACUUGUGACAUGAUUGGUCGAGUUUCAUAUCCUAUACUUGUGACAUGAUUGGUCGAGUUUCAUAUCUUAUACUUGUGACGUGAUUGGUCGAGUUUCAUAUCCUAUACUUGUGACAUGAUUGGUCGAGUUUCAUAUCCUAUACUUGUGACGUGAUUGGUCGUGUUUCAUAUCCUAUACUUGUGACAUGAUUGGUCGAGUUUCAUAUCCUGUACUUGUGACGUGAUUGGUCGAGUUUCAUAUCCUAGUUGAUUUGAGUGGUCAGUCAUUGUGGUUCAUUGAGCAGUAUUUGCAUAUGUUUGAGAGGAUGUCGAUGUUGUCCCAGCCUAGUUGACCUGAGUGGUCGGUUCUUGUGCUUCUUUACAGUUGACGACCUAUGCGGUCGAUGGGCCCUGGGGGGCAGGAUUGUCGGCUGGUUGCCGACGGUUGAUCAUUGAGCAUAUUGCAUUGAUCGCCCGAUACUCGUCGCAUUUCACGAACACUGGCGGUCUGAUCCACCGCAAGGAGUGUUCUUUUCCGGAAAAGUGGUUGAAUGGUGACAACCCGUGAGCCCUAGAGAGGUUAUAUGCACUGGAGAGUAGUAGUGGCACUGGCUUGAGGUCUGCGGUGCUGACCAAGAGAGCAUUGGUUUCAGAUUUGGUACUUUUGGGCUUCUUGACCGGUUGACGCAUAUGUCUAUAGUAGCAGUAGUUGCAUGCAUACUUACAGUUCUUACUUUAUAGUUGUCUUGCUGCUAUAGUAGAUAUUCAUGUAUACUUUCGGUUCCAGUUACAGUAGCGGUAGCCGUUAUUCAGUCUAGUUCUUACUUUCUGUCAGUUUAUUGCUACUGUAUGUAGUAUAUCUACUAAGUACCUUAUACAUCUCUUUCGUUUACUAUUGUUCCUACUGUAUUUCCACUGACCCGUGUUGUUGUAUAGCUCUUCCUGAUCCGGUGAGUACUCCUCGCCUUCUUCGGCUUGCGGUACCCACUGGGAGGGGAGACAUGUUUACAUGUUCUCACCUCCCCCACCAUUUUUUAGGUAUCGCAGGCGAUGUGUAUUGGGACGAGAUGCGAGAUACGUACGUAGCGGUCGAUAGAUAUUCCGACCCAGGUUGUUCUGUUUAGUUUCUACCCUUACUAUUCUGUUGACAUAGUUUAGAUAGUUUACCUGGUUCAGUAUUUUUAUUACAUUUGAAUAUGUGGAUUUUCAUGAAUGUAAUAAAAGGAUUUUUGGAUUUUGUAAAAUAAAAGGUUUUCUACCCCU
RNAcentral lists this long non-coding RNA (20035 nucleotides) under Ananas comosus (pineapple). RNAcentral describes it as "long non-coding RNA (ACOM_LNC003192)". The record is from RNAcentral. Lineage: Eukaryota; Viridiplantae; Streptophyta; Magnoliopsida; Poales; Bromeliaceae.